CAGACAUCUCUUCUUCCGAGCUGCACACACACAUGAAAUAAGAAAGAAACAAAGGGAAGAGAGAAGAGGGAAGAGAGUGGGCUGCGAUGGAAGGAAGAAGAGAAGAGGAGAGAGGACUGUCCCGCGCCGGCGUCGCGCCUCACCAUCCGUCGGAGAGGACCAGAACGCGAUGAGGAGAAGGAGUUGGUUUCUGCCGUCGCCGGGAGACAGAACCAGCAUCUAGUUGGUCCCUGGAGGAUGGCCGGGUUCAUGCCCUUUACUCAACCCCAUCGAUAUACACCGAUGCGAAACAUGCUGCUAAUGAGGCGUGGCCAAUCAAGACUAACGACUACUUUCUAUGAGUCCUGAAUGCGAAUAAUUCAAUGAAUAAGCUGUCAUACUUAAAAAUCAUUCAUUCCAACUUGUUGUUUGAUAUUUGUACCAUGAAUUUGUUAGGUAUGCCGACAUGAAAAAUGGGCUAUUAGACGGAGUAUUUUACAAGUAGGCCAGCAAUCAAACGCUAUGUUAGAUUCUCAAGUGUCUACUACUUGGGGUACAAAAUUGAUACCAACAUGACUGAAAUAUGCUAGAAGAGUCAAGAAUUAUAAAUCCUAUAUGAUACAAUUUUAUGUUAGGAAAAAAUUAUGUUUAGUUGAAUUUCUAGAACUUAUUUUAUUGUAAAAAAACCUUAAUGACAUGUAAG
Molecule: long non-coding RNA, 682 nt
Organism: Arachis stenosperma
Lineage: Eukaryota; Viridiplantae; Streptophyta; Magnoliopsida; Fabales; Fabaceae
Exons: 3
Source: RefSeq, a predicted model, not a curated record